Peromyscus leucopus (white-footed mouse) is the source of this 823-nucleotide long non-coding RNA. RefSeq lists it as uncharacterized. The record is from RefSeq and is a predicted model, not a curated record. The transcript has 4 exons. NCBI's taxonomy places the organism in Eukaryota, Metazoa, Chordata, Mammalia, Rodentia, Cricetidae.
CUCCCUUCCCCUCCCCUUCUGUUUGGGUACAGGGAGGAAACCCUUGAUCUCAGAGCAGAGUCUUGCCAGCCAUGAUUCAUAACUGGGCUAAGGAGAGAUUUGUCUUCACGGACGAAGACUGAGUCCCUGACAUUCUGGCGCCUCCCCUUCUUACUUGAUGCUGUGACUGUGAGGACAAGAUGUCUGGGGUCUCGGGAGCUUUACUGAGACCACGAGACAACAAGCAGGAUCAUAAAUCAACAUGUUGAAUGCCAACUGAUGGAAAGAGCCUGGGUCCUCAGGGAUGUAGCUGAAGUGUAUGCCACGUUCAGGGUGAGUCUCAAGGGAUCCGAGAGCUGCUACCCCUGAACUGAGGAAGCCGGAGCCGGAACGCUGUCCCACUGCUGGGUGGUGCGGCUCUUCCAGCCUCACCUCUACGUCUCUCUGAGAAUUGCAUCAGUCCUCAGCCCUCUCUCUGCUUCCACUGACUCAGCUCUCCCACGGCAGAGCCCGCUCUGCCGUUCCUGUGUCCUCCUCAGCUAGGUCUACAACAUCUGCAGGAGCCUCAUUCCAGAGCCGAGGAAAGAGAACAUGUGGAUCCAGCUUUGAGUCAUCUACGCCCAGACCCAGUGAACAGGGCCAUGGGAGCAAAGGCACUUCAUGGCGACAACCUUUCUCUCUAGAAAGUUCACCGAAGCAGAUUGGGAUCAGCCUUAAGAGCGGUUCCUGCAGGCACCCGAACACUACACUGGAGGACAGGGUGGCAGCUUCCUUCAGAGGCCCUUUGAAGGGCGUCCUGCCAGGAGAGAAGAGAAGAGCAUCACCUCCAGCACCAUCCUGCGUU